AGCUCAGCUGGUUAGAGCGCCACGUUGACAUCGUGGAGGUCAUCAGUUCGACUCUGGUCAGCCCCA
This 66-nucleotide transfer RNA is filed under the name Calditrichota bacterium. RNAcentral describes it as "Calditrichaeota bacterium (activated sludge metagenome) tRNA-Val". It matches the Rfam family "tRNA", at positions 9 to 71 of the family's 71-position model. From Rfam's summary of the family: Transfer RNA (tRNA) molecules are approximately 80 nucleotides in length. Their secondary structure includes four short double-helical elements and three loops (D, anti-codon, and T loops). Further hydrogen bonds mediate the characteristic L-shaped molecular structure. tRNAs have two regions of fundamental functional importance: the anti-codon, which is responsible for specific mRNA codon recognition, and the 3' end, to which the tRNAs corresponding amino acid is attached (by aminoacyl-tRNA synthetases). tRNAs cope with the degeneracy of the genetic code in two manners: having more than one tRNA (with a specific anti-codon) for a particular amino acid; and 'wobble' base-pairing, i.e. permitting non-standard base-pairing at the 3rd anti-codon position. Lineage: Bacteria; Pseudomonadati; Calditrichota. The record is from RNAcentral.